This 1592-nucleotide ribosomal RNA is filed under the name metagenome. Its description in RNAcentral is "bacterial LSU rRNA". It matches the Rfam family "Bacterial large subunit ribosomal RNA", at positions 1350 to 2925 of the family's 2925-position model. The record is from RNAcentral.
GGUUCCAGCGCAACGUUAAUCGACGCAGGGUUAGUCGGUUCCUAAGGCGAGGCUGAAAAGCGUAGUCGAUGGGAAACAGGUUAAUAUUCCUGUACUUCUGGUUACUGCGAUGGAGGGACGGAGAAGGCUAGGCCAGCUUGGCGUUGGUUGUCCAAGUUUAAGGUGGUAGGCUGAAAUCUUGGGUAAAUCCGGGGUUUCAAGGCCGAGAGCUGAUGACGAGUCGUCUUUUAGAUGACGAAGUGGUUGAUGCCAUGCUUCCAAGAAAAGCUUCUAAGCUUCAGGUAACCAGGAACCGUACCCCAAACCGACACAGGUGGUCGGGUAGAGAAUACCAAGGCGCUUGAGAGAACUCGGGUGAAGGAACUAGGCAAAAUGGCACCGUAACUUCGGGAGAAGGUGCGCCGGCUAGGGUGAAGGAUUUACUCCGUAAGCUCUGGCUGGUCGAAGAUACCAGGCCGCUGCGACUGUUUAUUAAAAACACAGCACUCUGCAAACACGAAAGUGGACGUAUAGGGUGUGACGCCUGCCCGGUGCCGGAAGGUUAAUUGAUGGGGUUAGCGCAAGCGAAGCUCUUGAUCGAAGCCCCGGUAAACGGCGGCCGUAACUAUAACGGUCCUAAGGUAGCGAAAUUCCUUGUCGGGUAAGUUCCGACCUGCACGAAUGGCGUAACGAUGGCGGCGCUGUCUCCACCCGAGACUCAGUGAAAUUGAAAUCGCUGUGAAGAUGCAGUGUAUCCGCGGCUAGACGGAAAGACCCCGUGAACCUUUACUGUAGCUUUGCACUGGACUUUGAGCCUGCUUGUGUAGGAUAGGUGGGAGGCUUUGAAGCGUGGAUGCCAGUUCGCGUGGAGCCAUCCUUGAAAUACCACCCUGGCAUGCUUGAGGUUCUAACUCUGGUCCGUAAUCCGGAUCGAGGACAGUGUAUGGUGGGCAGUUUGACUGGGGCGGUCUCCUCCUAAAGAGUAACGGAGGAGUACGAAGGUGCGCUCAGACCGGUCGGAAAUCGGUCGCAGAGUAUAAAGGCAAAAGCGCGCUUGACUGCGAGACAGACACGUCGAGCAGGUACGAAAGUAGGUCUUAGUGAUCCGGUGGUUCUGUAUGGAAGGGCCAUCGCUCAACGGAUAAAAGGUACUCCGGGGAUAACAGGCUGAUACCGCCCAAGAGUUCAUAUCGACGGCGGUGUUUGGCACCUCGAUGUCGGCUCAUCACAUCCUGGGGCUGAAGCCGGUCCCAAGGGUAUGGCUGUUCGCCAUUUAAAGUGGUACGCGAGCUGGGUUUAGAACGUCGUGAGACAGUUCGGUCCCUAUCUGCCGUGGACGUUUGAGAUUUGAGAGGGGCUGCUCCUAGUACGAGAGGACCGGAGUGGACGAACCUCUGGUGUUCCGGUUGUCACGCCAGUGGCAUUGCCGGGUAGCUAUGUUCGGAAAAGAUAACCGCUGAAAGCAUCUAAGCGGGAAACUUGCCUCAAGAUGAGAUCUCACUGGGAACUUGAUUCCCCUGAAGGGCCGUCGAAGACUACGACGUUGAUAGGCUGGUGUGUAAGCGUUGUGAGGCGUUGAGCUAACCAGUACUAAUUGCCCGUGAGGCUUGACC